AAGUCGUAACAAGGUUUCCGUAGGUGAACCUGCGGAAGGAUCAUUAACACGUAUCCAAACGUUCAAACCCCGCGUAGUUCGCAAAUCAUAGCCCGGAAAGUUGUAGUGAUUCAGAGACCUCUGGCUACGUGCGAACAUUGGAACAGUUACAAUCGAGCGGUAGUUCUAUAGGCAAUGUUUCUCCAAGCAGUCAGUGUCGGAAAGUGUCAUUGAUUGUGCAAGGAUAGCGCUUCUACGAUUCCUGUAGACCGUACACUCGGGCAGGAGCUUUGCCAAAGGGUCCCCAUGCCCCCUAAUAACCCCACAGUUUAAUGUGAAGCUCAAUGUAAUACAUUGGGUAAAAAAACCGAACAACUGUUAACAAUGGAUAUCUUGGUUCUC
This 381-nucleotide unclassified non-coding RNA is filed under the name fungal sp. RNAcentral's name for it is "partial internal transcribed spacer region". The stretch from base 1 to 46 matches the Rfam family "Eukaryotic small subunit ribosomal RNA", at positions 1786 to 1831 of the family's 1831-position model. The record is from RNAcentral. Lineage: Eukaryota; Fungi.